AGAAUCAACGCUGGCGGCGUGCCUAACACAUGCAAGUCGAACGAGAAAGUGGAGCAAUCCAUGAGUACAGUGGCGACCGGGUGAGUAACACGUGACUACCUACCCUUGAGUGGGGGAUAACCUCGGGAAACCGAGGCUAAUACCGCAUAAUAUCGAGAGAUCAAAGGAGUAAUCCGCUUUUGGAGGGGGUCGCGGCUGAUUAGCUAGUUGGUAGGGUAAUGGCCUACAAAGGCGAAGAUCGGUAUCCGGCCUGAGAGGGCGCACGGACACACUGGAACUGAAACACGGUCCAGACUCCUACGGGAGGCAGCAGUGGGAAUUUGCGCAAUGGGGGAAACCCUGACGCAGCAACGCCGCGUGGAGGAUGAGGCCCCUUGGGGUGUAAACUCCGUUUCGACCGGGAAAAUAAUGAUGGUACCGGUGGAAGAGCACCGGCUAACUCUGUGCCAGCAGCCGC
RNAcentral lists this ribosomal RNA (457 nucleotides) under uncultured bacterium. RNAcentral's name for it is "SSU rRNA". It matches the Rfam family "Bacterial small subunit ribosomal RNA", at positions 26 to 518 of the family's 1533-position model. The record is from RNAcentral.